AUCCUACAGCAGGCCAACAAAAAGCAUAAUGGCAGAAAAAGAUUUCUAGUUCUGGUGAGCUUUUCUUCUAAGCACUCUUCUUCUCAACAAGUUUCUCAAUAAGAUCAGCAGCAUCCUGAACUGUUGCGAUGCUCUGGGCACUCUCCUCUUCCACACUAAUAUCGAAUUCCUCUUCAAGUCCCAUAACAAUCUCAACCGUAUCAAGAGAAUCUGCUCCAAGGGCUAAAAAUUUUGAUUCGCCAGUAACAACAGUUUCAGGUGAUAAUGCCAGCUGUUUCUUCACUAUUGCACACACCUUUUCUACUGUUUCAGGCUUGGCAGCGCAAGAAACCCGAAGGCGAGUUGGAACUGGCCGCACCCUAAAGGACAGGAAACUUCUCUGGUUUGGAAGUGAAAAUGAUUUCAGUCUAGAGAUUCUGUCUGCAGACUUCAUGGAGACCGAAGAACCAGCGGCGGCUGCCAUGGGAGGAAUGAAGAGGUAGAGCGAAGAGAAAUAGAGAUUGUUGGCUGAAGAGGGACGGCGAAAACGAGGUAAGUUGCAGUAUUUAUAGGUGGCC
This 557-nucleotide unclassified non-coding RNA is filed under the name Hevea brasiliensis (rubber tree). The record is from RNAcentral. Lineage: Eukaryota; Viridiplantae; Streptophyta; Magnoliopsida; Malpighiales; Euphorbiaceae.